RNAcentral lists this ribosomal RNA (449 nucleotides) under uncultured bacterium. RNAcentral describes it as "bacterial SSU rRNA". It matches the Rfam family "Bacterial small subunit ribosomal RNA", at positions 328 to 793 of the family's 1533-position model. The record is from RNAcentral.
CUCUGUGACUCCUACGGGAGGCAGCAGUGGGAAUAUUGCACAAUGGGCGCAAGCCUGAUGCAGCAACGCCGUGUGAGUGAAGAAGGUUUUCGGAUCGUAAAACUCUGUCCUAAGGGAAGAAACAAAUGACGGUACCUUAGGAGGAAGCCCCGGCUAACUACGUGCCAGCAGCCGCGGUAAUACGUAGGGGGCAAGCGUUAUCCGGAAUCACUGGGCGUAAAGGGUGCGUAGGCGGCUUAGCAAGCCAGGGGUGAAAGGCAUUGGCUCAACCAAUGUAAGCCUUUGGAACUGUUAGGCUUGAGUGCAGGAGAGGUAAGUGGAAUUCCUAGUGUAGAGGUGAAAUUCGUAGAUAUUAGGAGGAACACCAGUGGCGAAGGCGACUUACUGGACUGUAACUGACGCUGAUGCACGAAAGCGUGGGUAGCGAACAGGAUUAGAUACCCUGGUAG